This 497-nucleotide ribosomal RNA is filed under the name uncultured bacterium. Its description in RNAcentral is "partial 16S ribosomal RNA". It matches the Rfam family "Bacterial small subunit ribosomal RNA", at positions 28 to 523 of the family's 1533-position model. The record is from RNAcentral.
GAUGAACGCUGGCGGCGUGCUUAACACAUGCAAGUCGAACGAAGCACUUUUACAGAUUUCUUCGGAUUGAAGUGAUAGUGACUGAGUGGCGGACGGGUGAGUAACGCGUGGGUAACCUGCCUCACACAGGGGGAUAACAGUCGGAAACGGGUGCUAAUACCGCAUAAGCGCACAGUACCGCAUGGUACGGUGUGAAAGACUCCGGUGGGGUGAGAUGGAACCGCGUGUGAUUAGCUAGUUGGCAGGGUAACGGCCUACCAAGGGGACGAUCAGUAGCCGACCUGAGAGGGUGACCGGCCACAUUGGGACUGAGACACGGCCCAAACUCCUACGGGAGGCAGCAGUGGGGAAUAUUGCACAAUGGGGGAAACCCUGAUGCAGCGACGCCGCGUGAGCGAGGAAGUAUUUCGGUAUGUAAAGCUCUAUCAGCAGGGAAGAAGAAAUGACGGUACCUGACUAAGAAGCACCGGCUAAAUACGUGCCAGCAGCCGCAGUAA